AAAUAUCAUUUUUUUAUAUUCUGUAUAGCCUUAUUGUUUCUUUUUUGCUGUUGUCAUCCAACACCUCAUCUCCCUUCUCUUUCAAUUCAUUUUGUCCUUUUUUCUUCUCCUCUCUUAAGCUGCCCAAACCUAAGUCUUUUCCACCCUUAUUGCCAUCCACUUCCCCUCCAUUGAAGGUGAUUUGUUGGUAAUUUUCUUCACCUUUUUGCUGUCAUUUUUCAUUCAUUUUCCAGCCUUUAAUUUUUUUUAUCACUAAAAUACAACCUUCAUUGUCACCACAAAAAUACCAUUACUGCCCCCUUUCCUCCUUGUAUUCGGACAACUCAAAUUCGAAGCUAGAUCGAGGAAAAGAAAAAAGUUUCGGAUUAGUAGAGUUUUAUAUACAAACAAAUGUUGAGUGCUCAAGAGCUCGCAAAGGUUGGAGAUUGGUCGGAGCAUCAUGACACAAUUUACUAGCAUCGUUUUGGUAUAAAUAAUAAACUUAUUUUGGUAUAAUGGCAUGUAUAGGUUAACUUGACCAAAUGAUGGCUUGUAAAUGGAUGUUUGUAAUCUAGCCAUUAGUAUGGCUGGUGAAGUUUGAUUUGGUAUAUUACUACAAAGUGAUAUCAUGUUAAUAUA
This is a long non-coding RNA of Gossypium arboreum, 618 nucleotides long. RefSeq lists it as uncharacterized. The record is from RefSeq and is a predicted model, not a curated record. The transcript is spliced from 3 exons. NCBI's taxonomy places the organism in Eukaryota, Viridiplantae, Streptophyta, Magnoliopsida, Malvales, Malvaceae.